This 421-nucleotide ribosomal RNA is filed under the name uncultured bacterium. RNAcentral describes it as "partial 16S ribosomal RNA". It matches the Rfam family "Bacterial small subunit ribosomal RNA", at positions 360 to 773 of the family's 1533-position model. The record is from RNAcentral.
AAUAUUGGUCAAUGGGGGCAACCCUGAUCCAGCCAUGCCGCUUGUGUGAAGAAGGUCUUCGGUUUGUAAACCCCUUUAAGUUGGGAGGAAGGGCAGUAAGUUAAUACCUCGCUGUUUUGACGUUACCUACAGAAUACGCACCGCCUAACUUCGUUCCACCACCCGCGGUAAUACGAAGGGUGCAAGCGUUAAUGGGAAUUACUGGGCGUAAAGCGCGCGUAGGUGGUUUGUUAAGUUGGAAGUGAAAGCCCCGGGCUCAACCUGGGAACUGCUUUCAAAACUGGCAAGCUAGAGUAUGGCAGAGGGUGGUGGAAUUUCCUGUGUAGCGGUGAAAUGCGUAGAUAUAGGAAGGAACACCAGUGGCGAAGGCGACUACCUGGACUGAUACUGACACUGAGGUGCGAAAGCGUGGGGAGCAAAC